GCAGUAGCCGCGGGAAUACGUAGGUGGCAAGCGUUGUCCGGAAUUAUUGGGCGUAAAGGGCUCGCAGGCGGUUUCUUAAGUCUGAUGUGAAAGCCCCCGGCUCAACCGGGGAGGGUCAUUGGAAACUGGGGAACUUGAGUGCAGAAGAGGAGAGUGGAAUUCCACGUGUAGCGGUGAAAUGCGUAGAGAUGUGGAGGAACACCAGUGGCGAAGGCGACUCUCUGGUCUGUAACUGACGCUGAGGAGCGAAAGCGUGGGGAGCGAACAGGAUUAGAUACCCGAGUAGUCCCUGUCUCUUAUAC
This 302-nucleotide ribosomal RNA is filed under the name uncultured bacterium. Its description in RNAcentral is "partial 16S ribosomal RNA". It matches the Rfam family "Bacterial small subunit ribosomal RNA", at positions 508 to 807 of the family's 1533-position model. The record is from RNAcentral.